RNAcentral lists this long non-coding RNA (2200 nucleotides) under Suricata suricatta (meerkat). Its description in RNAcentral is "lncRNA (ENSSSUG00005000987.1)". Lineage: Eukaryota; Metazoa; Chordata; Mammalia; Carnivora; Herpestidae. The record is from RNAcentral.
UUGUAAAGGGCAAAGCAAAUGAUGCUUUUGCAGGAAGGAGAUGCCAGUGUCCCUGGGGCUGGCUUCAGCAACAACGCCACCAUUUGAAAACCACCCUCCUCGGAGCGUCCCACCAGUACCCAAGGACACUGUCCAAACCCUACCCACUGCAUAGGCAUGAAGCCACCCACAGUGGCUCAGGCCAGACACCCUGCCUCACACAGGCCAUGGAAGAAACACUUCACAUUCCUUCUGAGAAAAUCUGUCAUGACUCUUCAAAUGUGUGUUAUAGAUUCUGGUAACAUCAGACGGAAGAGCAGAGCCACUAGCAAAGGGCGGCUGUAGGUUUACAGCACCCUGCACAUGGUUUAAUGCACUCCUGUAGCCAUCCCGAAAGCCUUCAUUUUUAAACAGGGGCUCCCGCAUUUUCAUUGGCUGGGCCCAGCAAAUUUUGUAGCUAGUCCUGGGCAAGAGGCUUGGGUUUGGGAAGUGGUUGAAACCUGACAGUCUUGGCAAAAAGACUGCUGUGUGACAGCAGCUCGCUGAGCCAGGCUGGGAGGCUGGGCAGGGGACUGCAGAGACAUGGGGAAGAGGCGCCAUGCUGGAAACCCAGCCUCCAAACUGCCCAAGACCAAGUCUUCCAACCCUGAUGGCUGAAGAGUUGGCCGAUAAGGCCUCCCCGGAACAGCGGGACUGGCUGAAAGUAAACUUGCAUUAUCAAGGAAGUCAUGGUCGCACCAGACCGAAGAGCGGCACAGUGCUGAUGCAGAAUGGAGGGGGCUUUAGGAACACCCCAUCCAGAUGGAUCCCCAGGAGCCCUGACCCGCAGGUUCAAUCCAACCCUUUUAUUUUAUAGAUGAGGAAGCUAAGCUGUGUGAGGGGAAGUAACCAGCCAAGGCCACCCACAAAGAGAGGCAGGACCAGACCCCGGGAGCUUUCAGCUUCCCCUUCCAACCUCCCAACUUAAUGAGUUCAAAUAAAAUUCAUAUACUGGGUGUAUGCCCCCCACCCCCAAUCGGCCCCUGGGGUCCUCAACACAAAUCUUUGGGUACUUGUCUUUGCCUUUGGGGUAAGGGAGUCUUGCUGUGCAGAUACGUGUAACCUUAUAAACCCCAAGGGAGAAGAUGGCUUCCUUCCAUCAGUACAAUCUCUGUUCCAUCAUCUAGCAAAAAGUGGGAAGAGCCCCGGUGCAGGGUUCAGUCUUUCCAUGUCCAAGGGAUUUAUAAGCCCAUUUGUGUCUGGGAAGGGUGAAGCUGAACCCAGUUUUUUCUAGUUAGCAGGUACAGGGUAACGCAAGGUGGAUGAAAUGAGGGGGGCACUCUGGGAAAUACUGCCAGCCCACCACACCUAAGACAUAGGUGCAGAUGGCCACCAGCAAGUGAUGGGAUCUCUGCCACCCAUCAAGUUUUGUCUUUUUUUGGGCAGGGGGAGGUGGGGGGCUUAACUAAAUCAAACCAUCCUUAACACUGAGUGAUUUCAAUUUGUUUUCUAUACUCCCUCCUUCCCUCCUUUCCUUCUCUGAACUAAUAGAUAUUAAGCACUAACUAUGUGUCACACAUGUUCUGGUUGCUGGGCAUAUAGCACUGAAGAAAUCAGACCAUGUUUCACUAUUUACACUUUUUUCUUUUUUUUUUUUCUUUUUUUUAUUUAUUUUUGAUACAGAGCAUGAGAGGGGUAGAAGCACAGAGAGAAGGAGACACAGAAUCUGAAGCAAGCUCCAGCCUCUGAGCCGGCUGUCAGCACAGAGCCCGAUGCGGGGCUUGAACCCAGGAACGUGAGAUCUGACCUGAGCCGAAGUCGGAGCCCCAACCGACUGAGCCACCCAGGCGCCCCUACACUUUUUUCUUUUUAAGUAGGCCCCACACUUAAUGUAGGGCUCGAACUCACAACCCUGAGCUCAAGAGUCAACCCUGAUAUCAAGAUGCUCUACCACUGCGCCAGCCAGGGGCCCCACACUAUUUACAUUCUAAAGGGAGGAAACAAAAAGAGUUAAGAAAUAUAUGAACAUGGGGCUCCUGGAUGGCUAAAUCAGUAUCCAACUCUUGGUUUCCGCUCGGGUCAGGUCAUGAUCUCACAACUCGCGGGCUCGAGCCCCACAGGGGGCACCAUGCUGAAAGUGCGGAGACUGCUUGGGAUUCUCUCUGCCCCUCCCCCGCUUGUUCUGUCUCUCAAAAUAAACUUUAAAAAAUUAAAAAAAAAUAAAGGAAUAUAUACCAUUUAG